CAGGCCCCGCCCACCGGGGCACCUGCGGCUUCCGGCCGCUCUACUGCCCGACGUGGAACACCCGCGCUGAAAGCUUGUGUAGGGAGACUUUUCGAAGGAUUGAGCGGGGCAGAAUGUGCGUGAACAGUGGAGUCUGCCUCCUCUUGAGUGCUGGCUCUUCUCAGUGACGUGCUUCUGACACGGAGAAUGCGUGGGACUCUGCCCCCUCUCCCUUUCUGACAGCUCGCCCUGGGGGGCCAGCAGCCACGUGCUGAGAACGCCCACGCAGCCCUGGGGAGCGUCCACGCGGGAGGACCAGAGGCCGCCUGCUGACUCCGUGUGGGUGAGCUGACUUGAGGAUCCUCCACCCCAGUCCAGCCUUGGGGGGACCAGAGGCUUAGCCGACGUCCCGACUGCAACCUGGGGAGAGUCCCUGAGCCCGACUGCCCAGCUCCUGAAUUCCCGAUUUAAGGACGUGGUGAGAUAAGGCGUGAUGUUCUAAGCCACCGCUUGAGGUAAUUUGUGACACAGCAUAGAUAACACAGGAUUGGCUCCCCAGAAGGACUCCCACCUUUGCUUUUUUGUUGUUAGGGAAAGUGUGAUCUGUCUGUGAAGGGUUCCCCAUCCUUGCCCAAGUCAGAGGCUCCACGUGGUGACUGUUACAAAUGCCGUCUGCCCCCUAAUACCUGCUUAGGGUCCCCUAAGAGUAAGCCCUGGCCUGUGAUCAGCCUGGUCCUCUGGGAACGCCAGGCAUGUGCUUGUAUGUGGCGUGUGUCCAUGUGCCCAGGAUACCGGCAUGCAGAACUCACGCCUCAUAAAAACAACGCACUCCCUUUCUCUCCCACCUUUCUCCCAGCUUUUCCUCUUGCAGGUUUCUGAGGUCUCUGUCUUUUGGGCGGCUGUGUGUCCUGGAUUCUGACUUUCCCACCUCUCCCUGGGCAGGGGAAGGAGGGGAUAUGGUGAGAGGUCCUUGGAGCCUGGGGAAGUAGCCAGGACCGCCUGCCCCAGGAGAGGUCGGUCCCCACCUUGGGGCCAGAUCUGUGUCUGUGAACAAUCAGCUGCCCAAUGGGGGCCACAGAGCCACAGGUUACACCCCUGGGACCCGCUAGGACCCACUCCACAGGACACUGCAGUGAGAAGGACAAGCCUCGGAUCUCGGACCCUCAUGAGUUCUCUGUUAGCAGCAGCCUGGGGCCCAGGCCAGCAGGAGGGCUCAGGCCUGGGGAGAGCGGGGACAGCCCCACCUGCCUGUGGGCUCUGCCUCCUCCUCCCUCACACCCCCACUGUCUCCUGGGGCUCCA
This is a non-coding RNA of Leptonychotes weddellii (Weddell seal), 1280 nucleotides long. Lineage: Eukaryota; Metazoa; Chordata; Mammalia; Carnivora; Phocidae. The record is from RefSeq and is a predicted model, not a curated record.